GAGAGUGAAGGGAGAGGGUAGGGAAGGGAGAGGGAGAGCUAGGAAGCGGGUGGGGAGGGUUGAAGAAGACCAACCCAGCUCCACCUGCAGUGCACAGUUGGUCUGUCUCACAUCCAAGGGGACCAGUCUGCCCUGAAAGUAGGCUGCAGAGGCAGUACCCCUCAGACCAGAGUUCUCAAGCUUUAGCUGCGGAGUAAUGAGGAUGGACAGUGUGGGGCAGUUUCUCAGGACCAGCACAGAGAUUUUGAUACAGUAAGUCUAGUCUCAGCUGAGGCCUUAGGGUCUGUAUUAUUAGCAUUGAGAAUGCUGAGGCUGCAGGUGGCCAAUGGUCUACAAGUGGAGAACAGGUGCUGCACGGAUGCAGUGUCUACGUUGGGCGCAUGUCCCCAGAAUGCAGCACAGUGCCUGGCACCAGAAGCGAAUGAAUGAAACGGUGCAUCACCCUGUGGGCCUGAUGCAUCAGUGUAAGGAAGCCAUGCAAUGGAAUCUCAUUUCAUCACAGUCUCCCAGAAGGUUUUUCCAAUGAAGAUGGAGAAAGCCUCAGGAAUGGCUUAAGAGCUGAAGGCUGCUUGAAGUAGACACUUCUUGAGUUUUAAGAAAACAGAACAUCAGAACCAAAAGUCACUAAAAUAAUGACACAACUGCCACACGUGGAGUGGUAUUUGUUUUCUCCUGAGCAAUAGCACUUUGAAACUCUCUUGAAGGCUAUUGGCUGAAGACCAAGAGAUUUGGAAGGGCAGGAGAGAUACUUUUUGUUUUUUCGGCUGUGCCGGGUCUUCGUUGCUUUCGCUUUGGCUUUCUCUAGUUGUGGUGAGCAGGGACUACUCACUCUCUAGCUGUGGUGAGUGGGCUUCUCAUUGCAGUGGCUUCUUUUGUUGCAGAGCACAGGCUCCGGAGUGUGCGGGCUUCAGUAGUUACAACACAUCGGCUCGGAAGUUGUGGCGCAGGGGCUUAAUUGCUCGGAGGCAUGUGGAAUCUUCCCAGACCAGGGAUAGAACCUAUGUCCCCUGCAUUGGCAGGCUGAUUCUUAUCCACUGUGCCAUCAGGGAAGUCCAAGAGAUACAUUUUAAAAAUACUCUAUGACUAGGGCCCUUUAUAGAAAAGUUAACAUGGUGAGUUGAUAAAGAUUCUUAAGAAACUGACAUUUUUAAGACAAAAAAGAGCAAGUCCUUAUUACAGUAUUGUUGUCAGCUUUCUAUGUAAUUUCCUAACAGAGACCAGCAUUCACAGUGGUGAGGAACAGAUUUUUUUUUAGGCAUUUUACUGAAUAAAGGAUAAAAUGCUGGCUUUGCCUUUCCUGCUGGGCUGCUUAGCACAGCUUCUCUGGGCCUCGGCCUAACUUUCCCAAACAACACAGCACUUUUAGGCACUCUCCACUGAAUACAACUUCAACAACUUGUUAAUAGAAUUCUGCCAGAAAAACUUAAUUUGAAAUUUAAAAAUUAAAUCACAGGAUGCAUAUCUUCUGGGGUCACACAUCCAGAGAAAGGGGGAACAUCCUUCACUGAUACUGGGUUACUACAGAUCUGGGAUUUUACACGGCGCAUUAACAAGAAAAAUCAGUGUGUCUCAAGGCCUUAAUGUUGCAAAGGUCAAAACAGUUACAAAAUCUCUGAUUUCCAGAUUUCUCCGUUUUGUCAUCAAGUAUUCAAUUACUCAAACCUGGUUAUUUACAACAAAGUAAAUAAAUAAAUCAAUAAAAACAAACA
Long non-coding RNA from Bubalus bubalis (water buffalo), 1709 nucleotides. RefSeq lists it as uncharacterized. The transcript has 2 exons. Lineage: Eukaryota; Metazoa; Chordata; Mammalia; Artiodactyla; Bovidae. The record is from RefSeq and is a predicted model, not a curated record.